GACGGAAGGUGCAAGCGUUGCUCGGAAUCACUGGGCGUAAAGGGUGCGUAGGCGGCCAACUAAGUCGGAUGUGAAAUCCCCAGGCUUAACCUGGGAAUUGCAUCCGAUACUGGAUGGCUUGAAUCCGGGAGAGGGAUGCGGAAUUCCAGGUGUAGCGGUGAAAUGCGUAGAUAUCGUUUGGAACGCCAAUGGUGAAAACAGGUAGCUGGGAGUGUGCCGACGCUGAGACACGAAAGCCAGGGGAGCGAACGGG
RNAcentral lists this ribosomal RNA (253 nucleotides) under uncultured bacterium. Its description in RNAcentral is "partial 16S ribosomal RNA". It matches the Rfam family "Bacterial small subunit ribosomal RNA", at positions 524 to 776 of the family's 1533-position model. The record is from RNAcentral.